GUUGGAUCACGAGAAGAAGAAGCUCAUCAAAGAUACUUUUAACACCGAAAAUGACCACAAAAAGGAAUACUCUGCAGUUGGCACGAGCACAUCACCAGUUCCUACCACGACCGCUAUACCAACUUCAGUAUCUUAUCUCUUCACGAGCAGCGAUGAUGAAAACUACCAUCAAAAGAAGUAUCAGUUUGACGAUAAGUUCCAAAAGAAGAAAAAACAACUUGCCGCCUGUUAUGACUGGCUCGCCGAGAAAAGAGCCAAUAGAUCGGCUUCUCACGUCAAGUUGCAAAGUUUAUCAUCUGAUGAUGAGGAUCGUCAGCUAUUGAUUACACCGGAACCUGCAGCGCCGGAGCUGGAGGUGAUUCCGGAGAUUAUUAAGGAGAGGGAUGUUGACUGCAACGUUGACCGCCAGUUGUCCUUGCCGAGACUGGCGAGUGGGAGUUGGAGUAGUUAUGCAGGUAGAUUGUUCUCGGGGACUACAUUGGAGGGAAACUUUUUGAGCGAUGUUAAGGACACUGCAACUAAUACCACGAGGCAGGAUACGGUGCAGGAGGAGGUGGUGGUGGUGGUGCAGGAUGAGAAGAAUGAAGAGAAGGGGGCGCAGAGGACAAGAGAGUCUUACUAUUUGCAGCUUGCUUUAGCUAAGA
RNAcentral lists this unclassified non-coding RNA (644 nucleotides) under Hevea brasiliensis (rubber tree). The record is from RNAcentral. Lineage: Eukaryota; Viridiplantae; Streptophyta; Magnoliopsida; Malpighiales; Euphorbiaceae.